GCGCACGUGGUCUACUGGAUGGGCAACGUUCUUCUAAAGCGUUUAAAGCAAGUUCGAUUCUUGCCGUGCGUG
RNAcentral lists this transfer RNA (72 nucleotides) under bacterium. Its description in RNAcentral is "tRNA-Arg". It matches the Rfam family "tRNA". From Rfam's summary of the family: Transfer RNA (tRNA) molecules are approximately 80 nucleotides in length. The record is from RNAcentral. RNAcentral also lists the same sequence under 2 other names.